GAACUGCGAUAAGUAAUGUGAAUUGCAGAAUUCAGUGAAUCAUCGAGUCUUUGAACGCACAUUGCGCCCCCUGGCAUUCCGGGGGGCAUGCCUGUCCGAGCGUCAUUGCUGCCCUUCAAGCCCGGCUUGUGUGUUGGGUCGUCGUCCCCUCCGGGGGACGGGCCCAAAAGGCAGCGGCGGCACCGCGUCCGGUCCUCGAGCGUAUGGGGCUUUGUCACCCGCUCGAUAAGGACCGGCCGGGCGCCAGCCGGCGUCUCCAACCUUUUUUUCUCAGGUUGACCUCGGAUCAGGUAGGGAUACCCGCUGAACUUAAGC
This 315-nucleotide unclassified non-coding RNA is filed under the name plant metagenome. RNAcentral describes it as "partial contains 5.8S ribosomal RNA, internal transcribed spacer 2, and large subunit ribosomal RNA". The stretch from base 1 to 105 matches the Rfam family "5.8S ribosomal RNA", at positions 50 to 154 of the family's 154-position model. The record is from RNAcentral.